CAGGUACAUGAUAAAGUGAAUCUUGUCACAUUGCAAACCAUCUGAUCUUUAGUAUGAAGGUACCCCUUCAAGAAAAGUAGAUGUCUCUUCCCGGGGUGUGACCUUGGAGUUCUGCAAGUUAAUGUCAAGGCCUCACAGUGAGUUCAUCAGUGAUCGUUAAUGUGGGACAUUGCUGGUAUGGAGGUAAGUGAUCCUGUGGGUCAAAACCACAGCACAUACCAUCUGGCUGUCAUAUACCUAGGUAAGUGAUGGGUGGCCUUACACUUCUUGUUACCAUGAAUUUUUUUUGAAGGUAUGAGGUAAGAAAUGCUAGAGUCCUCACCAAUUCCAGAGACAUGUUUCUCCACUUUCUAUAUUUCUGGAAAUGUUCAUUUUUAACCCUAUGAGUGUUGAGGGACUGCAUGUAUGCAGGUAUUUAUCAUGAUAUUCCCUGUGAUAGUACUAUCCAUAGGGUAUUUACAGGUGACCAGACAUCGAAUGACAGUUUUAUCUGUGUUAACUUUAGAUUAUUGUAAGUAUCCAGUAAAGUUGAUGUAUCUCAUAAUGAUGAACUAAACAAUGUUAUUUGCAGGUUUCCUGAUAGGAAAA
Long non-coding RNA from Mirounga angustirostris (Northern elephant seal), 588 nucleotides. RefSeq lists it as uncharacterized. The transcript is spliced from 3 exons. The record is from RefSeq and is a predicted model, not a curated record. NCBI's taxonomy places the organism in Eukaryota, Metazoa, Chordata, Mammalia, Carnivora, Phocidae.